RNAcentral lists this long non-coding RNA (1378 nucleotides) under Homo sapiens (human). RNAcentral's name for it is "HSALNT0127951". Lineage: Eukaryota; Metazoa; Chordata; Mammalia; Primates; Hominidae. The record is from RNAcentral.
UGCCUUUAUUACUAGUUGAAAGUUUAAAAUACAAUCUGAUUAAAUUAUUACUUUUUAGCUUCAGUUUCAAGAGAUUGAGCAGAGUUUCUCGAUACUAAUUACUCUUAAAAUCAACGAUUUGUGCCUGGCAUAUAGUGCCCUCUCAAGAAAAGAACAUUAAAUCAAUAAGUGAGUACAUCAGUAAUAAAUCUCCAACAUGAACAUGUAAUAUACUCUUCACUAUAUAAACAUACUCUCAAAGGCUAAUGAGGUAGGUACCAGAACAAUGGUGUACCACAGAGGGCUUUUUUAAAUUAAUUAAUUAAUUUCAUUAUUGGUUUGACUUUCUGUGUCUCGUUUCUUAUUUGGUAGAGUGCAAGUUAUCUUUUUUUUAAAAGUUGAUAUUAGGAAAUUUUCUCUUAAGAGUGGAACUAAUUUACAUGACUUUGGAAAUACUGUUGUCACACUUUUAUGAGGAGUUAAAAUGUUCUACAUAAAGCAAACUUAGAGUGGCUGUUUGACUAUUUAGAAGUUCUUCCCUGAUCUUAUAUUUUUGUCUGAAUAUUUUAGAUUGCCAAAUUAAUGCUAUAUUUGUUAGUGAGAUUUGAUGAAGCAUUAGUGGUUAAAGGUAAAUAUGUAAUAUAUGCUUCAUUUAGGAAGCUCUGAAUUAUUAAAAAGGCCAAAUAUUAGUAGUGAUAGUUGCAGUCAUCUGUUCUUCAUUCCUCCUGCACAAUUUCAUUAGUAGAUAAGGCUAUUUUGUGCUCUUGAUAUAGUAAAAUUACUCACUCUUUCCAAAUGCCAGAGAUAGGGAUUUAAAAAUAAUUAACAUGAAAAACUGAAAAUAAUGAAUCUUUGUUUUGUUUCAACUACAAAGACAAUCAUUUAAUAGUUUAUAUAUAGAUUUCUUUACUUCUUGUAAGUAAUGGUAGAUGCCUGUACACAUCAGAAUGUUGGCUCACCAGAUAGGCUAGGUUUGCUGAAUUUAUGUGUCAUUGCUGAUCCAUCUGAAAUACAAGCCACCAUAUGUCAGUUUACUUAUUGAAGCUGGAAAAGAAUCCAUUAUAGAAAAUAAUUUUAGAUAUACAAUCAUGUCAUCUGCAAACAGGGACAAUUUGACUUCCUCUUUUCCUAAUUGAAUACCCUUUAUUUCCUUCUCCUGCCUAAUUGCCCUGGCCAGAACUUCCAACCCCGUCGUCUCAGCCCAAAAUCUCCUUAAGCUGAUAAGCAACUUCAGCAAAGUCUCAGGAUACAAAAUCAAUGUGCAAAAAUCACAAGCAUUCUUAUACACCAAUAACAGACAAAGAAAGAGCCAAAUCAUGAGUGAACUCCCAUUCACAAUUGCUUCAAAGAGAAUAAAAUACCUAGGAAUCCAACUUACAAGGGAUGUGAAGGACCUCUU